Phyllostomus discolor (pale spear-nosed bat) is the source of this 797-nucleotide long non-coding RNA. RefSeq lists it as uncharacterized. The transcript has 2 exons. NCBI's taxonomy places the organism in Eukaryota, Metazoa, Chordata, Mammalia, Chiroptera, Phyllostomidae. The record is from RefSeq and is a predicted model, not a curated record.
GGUAGGCUGUGUCCAUCUCAGCUGCUCCCAGCUGUCAGGGCCUCUUGAGAUACUUGUAAAACCUUCUGCCUCCUUGGGCCCCCGUUUUUCUUCCUCCAUAAAAUAAGUGUGUUUGAUCAGAGCUUCUCUGAGUUCACUUCCAAGUCCCGAUUCCGGAUCCCUCCUUUCUCUUCUCCUCCCAGGAGCCCUCAGGGGUUCUUCCCCUUUCCCCUCAACACAAGGCCCUGACCACCCCACUAUGGGACCCCAGUUUCUGCCUCGGUGCUGCACGCUGAGCUCUGUGCCCUCCCUACCAGUGAAGCUGCGUAAGGCCAGGGACUUGACUAGUGCUUUCUGGGAGUCUUAACUGCAAAUACAGCAGGACCCAAGAAGGCUCAUGAGCAAAAAGAGCUGAAGGCUCUUUGGUUGUUGAAAUUAGUGGUGCACACCAGGAAGACACCACCACCCGAUGGCCUGGGCAGGAUGUUCCCAAGCUCUUGUUUUCCUGAGAUCGCAACAGGCACACACGAAAGCGUAUGAAUAUUGUUUCUAAAGGUUUCGUAGUGUUAGUCUUCCCUUCUGUUUUCUUGAAAGCUUGCAGACCCAGUGGCCAGGAGGUGUGGGACAGACCUAGCCUUACUCUUGCAUAGGCUGUGGCUUUUCUGGAGACUUCCAAGCAUCAGGACAGGGAAUUAGAGUGGGUGUGCACAGGGAAAAGCAUUGUUUAGCUAGCCCACUGGGGAAGAGCUUUCUGAAACUGGGGUAAUUCUUUAUAAAAAUGUGAACAAUGAAUUUAUUUUUUAAAUAAUAAAUUUUUU